RNAcentral lists this ribosomal RNA (480 nucleotides) under uncultured bacterium. RNAcentral describes it as "bacterial SSU rRNA". It matches the Rfam family "Bacterial small subunit ribosomal RNA", at positions 377 to 850 of the family's 1533-position model. The record is from RNAcentral.
GCAACCCUGAUCCAGCAAUGCCGCGUGUGUGAAGAAGGCCUUCGGGUUGUAAAGCACUUUUGUCCGGAAAGAAAACGCCGUGGCUAAUACCCGUGGCGGAUGACGGUACCGGAAGAAUAAGCACCGGCUAACUACGUGCCAGCAGCCGCGGUAAUACGUAGGGUGCAAGCGUUAAUCGGAAUUACUGGGCGUAAAGCGUGCGCAGGCGGUUCGCUAAGACAGAUGUGAAAUCCCCGGGCUUAACCUGGGAACUGCAUUUGUGACUGGCGGGCUAGAGUAUGGCAGAGGGGGGUAGAAUUCCACGUGUAGCAGUGAAAUGCGUAGAGAUGUGGAGGAAUACCGAUGGCGAAGGCAGCCCCCUGGGCCAAUACUGACGCUCAUGCACGAAAGCGUGGGGAGCAAACAGGAUUAGAUACCCUGGUAGUCCACGCCCUAAACGAUGUCAACUGGUUGUCGGGCCUUCAUUGGCUUGGUAACGUA